AUACGAAGGUCCCAAGCGUUAUUCGGAAUCACUGGGCGUAAAGAGUACGUAGGCGGUUUGGUAAGUCAGGUGUGAAAUCCCGAAGCUCAACUUCGGAACUGCAUCCGAUACUGCCAGACUAGAGUAAUGGAGAGGCAGGUGGAAUUCUCGGUGUAGCAGUGAAAUGCGUGGAUAUCGAGAGGAAGGCCAAUGGCGAAGGCAGCCUGCUGGACAUUUACUGACGCUGAGGUACGAAGGCUAGGGGAGCGAAAGGGAUUAGAAACCCUAGUAGUCC
RNAcentral lists this ribosomal RNA (274 nucleotides) under uncultured bacterium. RNAcentral's name for it is "partial 16S ribosomal RNA". It matches the Rfam family "Bacterial small subunit ribosomal RNA", at positions 523 to 796 of the family's 1533-position model. The record is from RNAcentral.